AUUGAACGCUGGCGGCAGGCCUAACACAUGCAAGUCGAACGAGUGGCGGACGGGUGAGUAAUGUCUGGGAAACUGCCCGAUGGAGGGGGAUAACUACUGGAAACGGUAGCUAAUACCGCAUACCAUCGGGUUUGCCCAGAUGGGAUUGGCUUGUAGGUGAGGUAACGGCUCACCUAGGCGACGAUACCUAACUGGUCUGAGAGGAUGAACGGACACACUGGAACUGAGACACGGUCCAGACUCUUCCGGGAGGCAGAAUUUGGGAAGAUUGCACAAUUGGCGCAAGCCUUAUGCAGCCAUGCCGCGUGUAUGAAGAAGGCCUUCGGGUUUUAAAGUACUUUCAGCGGGGAUUCGUUACCCGCAGAAGAAGCACCGGCUAACUCCGUGCCAGCAGCCGCGGUAAUUC
Molecule: ribosomal RNA, 406 nt
Filed under: uncultured bacterium
Lineage: Bacteria
Description: partial 16S ribosomal RNA
Rfam family: Bacterial small subunit ribosomal RNA
Source: RNAcentral